RNAcentral lists this ribosomal RNA (497 nucleotides) under uncultured bacterium. Its description in RNAcentral is "partial 16S ribosomal RNA". It matches the Rfam family "Bacterial small subunit ribosomal RNA", at positions 28 to 507 of the family's 1533-position model. The record is from RNAcentral.
GACGAACGCUGGCGGCGUGCCUAAUACAUGCAAGUAGAACGCUGAAGCGAGGAGCUUGCUCUUCUUGGGUGAGUUGCGCACGGGUGAGUAACGCGUAGGUAACCUGCCUUGUAGCGGGGGAUAACUAUUGGAAACGAUAGCUAAUACCGCAUAACAAUGGAUGACACAUGUCAUUUAUGUGAAAUGGGCAAUUGCUCCACUACAAGAUGGACCUGCGUUGUAUUAGCUAGUAGGUGAGGUAAUGGCUCACCUAGGCGACGAUACAUAGCCGACCUGAGAGGGUGGUCGGCCACACUGGGACUGAGACACGGCCCAGACUCCUACGGGAGGCAGCAGUAGGGAAUCUUCGGCAAUGGGGGCAAACCUGACCGAGCAACGCCGCGUGAGUGAAGAAGGUUGUCGGAUCGUAAAGCUCUGUUGUAAGUCAAGAACGGGUGUGAGAGUGGAAAGUUCACACUGUGACGGUAGCUUACCAGAAAGGGACGGCUAACUACGUG